UACGGGGGGGGCAAGCGUUGUUCGGAAUUACUGGGCGUAAAGGGCUCGUAGGCGGCCAACUAAGUCAGACGUGAAAUCCCCCGGCUUAACCUGGGAACUGCGUCUGAUACUGGAAGGCUUGAGUAUGGGAGAGGGAUGUAGAAUUCCAGGUGUAGCGGUGAAAUGCGUAGAUAUCUGGAGGAAUACCGGUGGCGAAGGCGGCAUCCUGGACCAUUACUGACGCUGAGGCGCGAAAGCUAGGGGAGCAAACAGG
RNAcentral lists this ribosomal RNA (253 nucleotides) under uncultured bacterium. Its description in RNAcentral is "partial 16S ribosomal RNA". It matches the Rfam family "Bacterial small subunit ribosomal RNA", at positions 524 to 776 of the family's 1533-position model. The record is from RNAcentral.